CGCUGAACUUAAGCAUAUCAUUAAGCGGAGGAAAAGAAACUAACAAGGAUUCCCCCAGUAACGGCGAGUGAAGCGGGAAGAGCUCAAGCUUAAAAUCUCCAUACUUGUAUGGCGAAUUGUAGUCUAUUGAGGCUGUUGUCAGCAUCGCGAUUGGGGACAAGUCCCUUGGAAAAGGGCAGCAUGGAGGGUGAUACUCCCGUCUCUGCUCCAAUUUGCGGUGUGUACGAUACGCUUUCUUUGAGUCGAGUUGUUUGGGAAUACAGCUCAAAGUAGGUGGUAAAUUCCAUCUAAAGCUAAAUAUUGGUGCAAGACCGAUAGCGAACAAGUACCGUGAGGGAAAGAUGAAAAGAACUUUGAAAAGAGAGUUAAAGAGUACCUGAAACUGUUGAAAGGGAACCGUAUCGCUUCCAGUGUUUUAUCUCGUGCAUAUUUCAUUCGCGGAGCAAUUUGCGGGUGCCCUGUGCAUGGGUGUGACGUCAGGGUCAGUUUGUAUGCUGCGGGAGAUGGUCAGUGAGGAGGUGCGUCACUUCGGUGAAAGUUAUAUCUCGCUGUCUAGUAGCCGUGGUUGAGACUGAGGUGCCUACAACAUGCCUUAAAGUUCCGCGUUGUCUCGUGUUGGUGACUGCUUUGAUAGCUUGCUAUGUCUGUGGUUCAUCAAUGCGAUCGGUGGUGUGGAUAACUUUUGCUGUUCGGGACUCUGGCGAAAUGGAGCGAUACGACCCGUCUUGAAACACGGACCAAGGAGUCUAACAUGUGUGCAAGUAUUAGGGCGUGGAAACCCAAAUGCGUAAUGAAAGUAAAUGCUGCUUAUGCRGCUUUGGUAGGAAAGGGCUGUCAAGGUCCUGGCACUAUCGACCGAUCAUGAGCCUACGGGCAAAAGAUUUGAGUAUGAGCAUAUAUGUUGGUACCCGAAAGAUGGUGAACUAUGCCUGAAUAGGGUGAAGCCAGGGGAAACUCUGGUGGAAGCUCGUAGCGAUUCUGACGUGCAAAUCGAUCGUCAAAUUUGGGUAUAGGGGCGAAAGACUAAUCGAACCAUCUAGUAGCUGGUUCCCUCCGAAAUUUCCCUCAGGAUAGCAGCAACUUUUUACGAUAGUUUUAUGAGGUAAAGCGAAUGAUUAGAGGCCUCGGGGAAGAAACUUCCUCGACCUAUUCUCAAACUUUAAAUGGGUAAGACCUGUGGGUUUCUUAAUUGAACCUGUGGACGUGAAUAUCCAAGUUGUUAGUGGGCCAUACCGGGUAAGCUGGUCUGGCG
Molecule: ribosomal RNA, 1252 nt
Filed under: Saprolegnia parasitica
Lineage: Eukaryota; Oomycota; Saprolegniomycetes; Saprolegniales; Saprolegniaceae
Description: eukaryotic LSU rRNA
Rfam family: Eukaryotic large subunit ribosomal RNA
Source: RNAcentral